UCCCCAGUGGCUAAGUGGUAAAGGAGCUGCCUGCAAUGCAGGAGACCAGGUUCGAUCCCUGGAUCGGGAA
RNAcentral lists this transfer RNA (70 nucleotides) under Bos taurus (domestic cattle). It matches the Rfam family "tRNA". From Rfam's summary of the family: Transfer RNA (tRNA) molecules are approximately 80 nucleotides in length. The record is from Rfam by way of RNAcentral. RNAcentral also lists the same sequence under 3 other names. Lineage: Eukaryota; Metazoa; Chordata; Mammalia; Artiodactyla; Bovidae.